UAUCAUUCUGUGAAAGUUCAGCCAAUGUAACAGUCCUUGCCACAACUUUUGGGAAUAAGAACAUUCAAAAUACAAAUGGUCAUGUGUCUCUACAAUGUCUCUCCCACAUAGUAUGCAUGACUGAUCAGUGUGAAUGCCCCAUUUUGCUAACCUGUCAGUUGUUGCCAAUCGUCUAUGCAUUGCCAUCCAUAAUAUGAACUUCUGUUUUGGCAACAACCCAGACACCAUCACUAGUUUUUUCCAAUGAAC
Molecule: long non-coding RNA, 249 nt
Filed under: Nicotiana benthamiana
Lineage: Eukaryota; Viridiplantae; Streptophyta; Magnoliopsida; Solanales; Solanaceae
Description: long non-coding RNA (NBEN_LNC031324)
Source: RNAcentral